GUGGGGAAUAUUGGGCAAUGGGCGCAAGCCUGACCCAGCAACGCCGCGUGAAGGAAGAAGGCUUUCGGGUUGUAAACUUCUUUUACCAGGGACGAAACAAAUGACGGUAUCUGGUGAAUAAGCCACGGCUAACUACGUGCCAGCAGCCGCGGUAAUACGUAGGUGGCGAGCGUUAUCCGGAUUUAUUGGGUGUAAAGGGCGUGUAGCCGGGACAGCAAGUCAGAUGUGAAAACCAGAGGCUCAACCUCUGGCCUGCAUUUGAAACUGUUGUUCUUGAGUGUCGGAGAGGUAAUCGGAAUGCCGUGUGUAGCGGUGAAAUGCGUAGAUAUUCGGAAGAACACCAGUGGCGAAGGCGACACACUGGCUCAUUACUGACGCUGAGGCGCGAAAGCGUGGGGAGCAAACAGGAUUAGAAACCCUGGUAGUCC
RNAcentral lists this ribosomal RNA (428 nucleotides) under uncultured bacterium. Its description in RNAcentral is "partial 16S ribosomal RNA". It matches the Rfam family "Bacterial small subunit ribosomal RNA", at positions 354 to 796 of the family's 1533-position model. The record is from RNAcentral.